GAGGCUCCACCAGGAUUUCAAAGUAUAUAUAUAUAUUUUUUAAUUUUGCUUAAUGGUUAAUUUGUUGUUGUUUUGAAGUUGUAUUUUUAUGAAUGCAUUGUGUUCUUUUGUACAGGAUUACUAACUAGGUUCUUGUUCAUUUUUUUUUCCUUUCCGAAUUAUUGCUAAGUCGGUAAUGUUCAAUGGUUUAGACCACCAAUCAUGGAUAUGACUUUGGUACACAGUACAUCAAUGAAAGAGAGAAUCAGUUUAUGUCUGUUGAUAAACCUAUAAGGUAUCUUGUGGCUUUUCAAUUGUAUAUGCUUAUGAAGGAAACUCUAAAGAAUAAAGGGAUGACUAGGGGAGUUAAGAUGAACUGGAUAAUUUUCUGACAUUGAGGUUACUAGUUGUCCAAGGUGUAAUGUCCGAGUUUGGGAAUAUAGUUGUUGCAAUAGAUAAGCAUGAAAUAGUGGAUAUCCAUGUGAGGUUACUGGAUUUCAUUUUAAAUGAAUUGCUGUUUUUUAUUUGUUUUCCAUUUUUGGUUACUCUUUCUCACUUUGGGGAAGAGAAGAGUAUUGGAUAAAAUGGACACAUUUUAAAUGAUAGGUUUUCUUUAUUAUCUAAGAGUUAGUGGUGGAUUUAUAAACUUUAAGAGAAAUAUCAGUUAUCAGCCAAAAUGAGUUGUUAAUCUAGAAAAUUAAUAGGAUAAUGAUUAUAUAUCACACAAACAUUGGAAAAUUUCUAUGCCAACUUAAUAAUAAAAGGAGAUCAUUCUCCUUCAGGACUUCUGAUAUUGGAAACCUCCUAGGUUUCUUAAGGCCAACAUGGUUUUGGAAGUCCAACAUUCUGUUAACAUUCUCCUAGGACUUAGCAAUAAUAUUUCAAUCUUAGGGCCCUAUCUUUGCAUCUAAGGUUUAGCAGUAGCUGAUUGCACCUUUUGCUUUUUCAUGAGUGACUAAUCAUCAGCAUAUUUAAAUUUCCCCAUCUGUUUUGUUGUCUCUCAGAAUGUCUGCAACGAUACUAAGAUAUCUCUUGUUAAUUAGAUGAAUGAAAAUGUAGGGUUGUGUGGACUAAAGCAUGUCUGUACAUGUGCUUACGAUAGAGUCUACAUUUUAACUAUUUUGCUUCGUUACAGUGUCAUAAUGGGCACACACUUUGUUCCACCUGUAAAACAAGGGUACACAAU
This 1165-nucleotide unclassified non-coding RNA is filed under the name Hevea brasiliensis (rubber tree). The record is from RNAcentral. Lineage: Eukaryota; Viridiplantae; Streptophyta; Magnoliopsida; Malpighiales; Euphorbiaceae.